Molecule: long non-coding RNA, 1610 nt
Organism: Heterocephalus glaber (naked mole-rat)
Lineage: Eukaryota; Metazoa; Chordata; Mammalia; Rodentia; Bathyergidae
Source: Ensembl
GGUUAGUGUUCCUGAUAGGAUUGGUUGAGAAUUACUGGCCCAAAUUCAUCCUUCAAUAUUAUCCAUCCUGGAGAUUUUGUAAUCUUAGCUUCUAUGUUUGGAUCUAUGACUUAUUUCAAGUACAUUUUGUUAUUGGUUGUGAAGUAAAGUGUCAGGUAAGGGAUUUCUUUUUUCCAUGCAAAUAUCCAUUCAUUUUGGCGUCAUUUGUUGGAAAAGAUAUUAUUUCCUCACUGAUUACCUCAGCUUCUUUUUCAGAAGUCACUGGACCAUGUAUGGGUCUACGUUUUAAUUAAUAGAUUAAUUUUGGAAGACUUUAUAUCUGAAAAAUACUGAAACUUUCAUACCACAGGUACAAAAUGUCUCCAUACUUUUACAUCAUUAAUAAUCUAUGUAGUAAUUUGUAGUUUUCCAUGUACAUGUCUUGAACAUAUUUUCUAAAAUUCAACUAAAUGUUUCAUUUUUAAAUGCUAUUAUAAGUGGAAUUUUACAUUUGAAUUUUUAUAUUAAUAAUAAUACAAUUGAUUUUGGCCAUAUCCAGUGCAUCAUAAAAAGCUCUUUAAAUCAUUUCAACUAGCUCAUAUGCUGAUCCUUAGGCUUUUCUAGGUACAAAUCAUGCUACAUAAAAAUAGUCUCACUCCUGCUUUUUCAAUCUGUAUGCCUUUUACUAUUUUCUUGUCACUUAGCUCUGGCAAAGACCUUUAGUAAAAAGUUGGCUAGAAGGGUGAGGGUACAGAUUUUUGCCUUGUUUCUGAUCAGGAUGGAAAGGCUGCCCUUCAUUCACAUCCCCAAGUUUGACAGUGGCUAAGGUUUCCAGUCCAUACUCAGCCUGAGAUGAAGGCAGCUUCUUUCUCCUGCUGAGAAUUUUGCUAAAAGCUUUUGUGACUGAAAAGCAUUAAAUUAUGGCAAAUGCAUUUUCUGCAUCUAUUUAAAUACACAUAAUUUACUUUCUUUCAUAAACAUGUUGAAUUAUAUUGACUUAUUUUUUUUUAAUGUUAAAUCACUUUCACAGCCCUGGCAUACAGUCCAAUUAGUCUUGAUUUAUUACCCUUGACUCAGUUCGCUAAUAUUUGAUAAGUGUUUUUGUAUCCAGUAGUCAACAAUACUCUACUAUGCACUGAUUUUUUAAAAUGUAGAACUCACAGUUCAGUGUUCUUACUAUGCACAUGCACACACACAUGCACACACACACAGACGCAUACACACGGACACAAGAUAAUAAUUCUGAAAUCUAAAGACUAAGCCAUCUGAGAAAGAACCCUAAAUAUUUCCAUAUUAAUGCCUGCUUCCCAUGAUACGACUGGGCAUUCCUGGAUCUUCUUUUGUUCACUGAAUUCUCCAUGCUCCAGGUAACCAGACCAACCUCUCAUGAAGGCAUUUACUGCACAGGCGGACAGAACAGUGGCUCCAUGAAUACCAGUUUCACAGUCGAGGAUAUCUGGUAUUUCCAGUGAUGUUUAGAGUUCAGUGGGUUUAUGGUUCCAUGACAUCUUAUUAUUUCAGGUUGUCUGCCAGUCUUCAUAGAAGCAGCAGCAAAUCUUCUGGCUGUCUGAUUCUCAGGCCAGGAGAUUAUAUUCGAACUCUCCAGGUUCUCCAGCCUGUCAGAUGCAGAG